GGUUAAGCGACUAAGCGUACACGGUGGAUGCCCUGGCAGUCAGAGGCGAUGAAGGACGUGCUAAUCUGCGAAAAGCGCCGGCGAGGUGAUAUGAACCUUUGACCCGGCGAUGUCCGAAUGGGGAAACCCAGUGCAAUCCGUUGCACUAUCGUUAACUGAAUACAUAGGUUAACGAGGCGAACCGGGGGAACUGAAACAUCUAAGUACCCCGAGGAAAAGAAAUCAACCGAGAUUCCCCCAGUAGCGGCGAGCGAACGGGGAGCAGCCCGGAGUCUGAAUCAGCUUGUGUGUUAGUGGAACGGUCUGGAAAGUCCGACGGUACAGGGUGAUAGUCCCGUACACGAAAGCACACUUGCUGUGAACUCGAAGAGUAGGGCGGGACACGUGGUAUCCUGUCUGAAUAUGGGGGGACCAUCCUCCAAGGCUAAAUACUCCUGACUGACCGAUAGUGAACCAGUACCGUGAGGGAAAGGCGAAAAGAACCCCGGCGAGGGGAGUGAAAAAGAACCUGAAACCGUGUACGUACAAGCAGUGGGAGCCUCUUUAUGGGGUGACUGCGUACCUUUUGUAUAAUGGGUCAGCGACUUAUAUUCUGUAGCAAGGUUAACCGUAUAGGGGAGCCGAAGGGAAACCGAGUCUUAACUGGGCGUUAAGUUGCAGGGUAUAGACCCGAAACCCGGUGAUCUAGCCAUGGGCAGGUUGAAGGUUGGGUAACACUAACUGGAGGACCGAACCGACUAAUGUUGAAAAAUUAGCGGAUGACCUGUGGCUGGGGGUGAAAGGCCAAUCAAACCGGGAGAUAGCUGGUUCUCCCCGAAAGCUAUUUAGGUAGCGCCUCGUGAACUCAUCUUCGGGGGUAGAGCACUGUUUCGGCUAGGGGGCCAUCCCGGCUUACCAACCCGAUGCAAACUACGAAUACCGAAGAAUGUUAUCACGGGAGACACACGGCGGGUGCUAACGUCCGUCGUGAAGAGGGAAACAACCCAGACCGCCAGCUAAGGUCCCAAAGUCAUGGUUAAGUGGGAAACGAUGUGGGAAGGCACAGACAGCCAGGAUGUUGGCUUAGAAGCAGCCAUCAUUUAAAGAAAGCGUAAUAGCUCACUGGUCGAGUCGGCCUGCGCGGAAGAUGUAACGGGGCUAAACCAUGCACCGAAGCUGCGGCAGCGACGCUUAUGCGUUGUUGGGUAGGGGAGCGUUCUGUAAGCCGUUGAAGGUGUCCUGUGAGGGGUGCUGGAGGUAUCAGAAGUGCGAAUGCUGACAUAAGUAACGAUAAAGCGGGUGAAAAGCCCGCUCGCCGGAAGACCAAGGGUUCCUGUCCAACGUUAAUCGGGGCAGGGUGAGUCGACCCCUAAGGCGAGGCCGAAAGGCGUAGUCGAUGGGAAACAGGUUAAUAUUCCUGUACUUGGUGUUACUGCGAAGGGGGGACGGAGAAGGCUAUGUCAGCCGGGCGACGGUUGUCCCGGUUUAAGCAUGUAGGCGGAGGUUCCAGGUAAAUCCGGUACCUUGUUAACGCUGAGGUGUGAUGACGAGGCACUACGGUGCUGAAGUGAUAAAUGCCCUGCUUCCAGGAAAAGCCUCUAAGCAUCAGGUAACACGAAAUCGUACCCCAAACCGACACAGGUGGUCAGGUAGAGAAUACCAAGGCGCUUGAGAGAACUCGGGUGAAGGAACUAGGCAAAAUGGUGCCGUAACUUCGGGAGAAGGCACGCUGAUAUGUAGGUGAAGUCCCUGCGGACGGAGCUGAAAUCAGUCGAAGAUACCAGCUGGCUGCAACUGUUUAUUAAAAACACAGCACUGUGCAAACACGAAAGUGGACGUAUACGGUGUGACGCCUGCCCGGUGCCGGAAGGUUAAUUGAUGGGGUUAGCGGCAACGCGAAGCUCUUGAUCGAAGCCCCGGUAAACGGCGGCCGUAACUAUAACGGUCCUAAGGUAGCGAAAUUCCUUGUCGGGUAAGUUCCGACCUGCACGAAUGGCGUAAUGAUGGCCAGGCUGUCUCCACCCGAGACUCAGUGAAAUUGAACUCGCUGUGAAGAUGCAGUGUACCCGCGGCAAGACGGAAAGACCCCGUGAACCUUUACUAUAGCUUGACACUGAACACUGGUCCUUGAUGUGUAGGAUAGGUGGGAGGCUUUGAAGCGUGGACGCCAGUCUGCGUGGAGCCAACCUUGAAAUACCACCCUUUAAUGGCUGGUGUUCUAACGUAGACCCGUAAUCCGGGUUGCGGACAGUGUCUGGUGGGUAGUUUGACUGGGGCGGUCUCCUCCCAAAGAGUAACGGAGGAGCACGAAGGUUGGCUAAUCCUGGUCGGACAUCAGGAGGUUAGUGCAAUGGCAUAAGCCAGCUUGACUGCGAGCGUGACGGCGCGAGCAGGUGCGAAAGCAGGUCAUAGUGAUCCGGUGGUUCUGAAUGGAAGGGCCAUCGCUCAACGGAUAAAAGGUACUCCGGGGAUAACAGGCUGAUACCGCCCAAGAGUUCAUAUCGACGGCGGUGUUUGGCACCUCGAUGUCGGCUCAUCACAUCCUGGGGCUGAAGUAGGUCCCAAGGGUAUGGCUGUUCGCCAUUUAAAGUGGUACGCGAGCUGGGUUUAGAACGUCGUGAGACAGUUCGGUCCCUAUCUGCCGUGGGCGCUGGAGAAUUGAGGGGGGCUGCUCCUAGUACGAGAGGACCGGAGUGGACGCAUCACUGGUGUUCGGGUUGUCAUGCCAAUGGCACUGCCCGGUAGCUAAAUGCGGAAGAGAUAAGUGCUGAAAGCAUCUAAGCACGAAACUUGCCCCGAGAUGAGUUCUCCCUGAGACUUUAAGUCUCCUGAAGGAACGUUGAAGACGACGACGUUGAUAGGUCGGGUGUGUAAGCGCAGCGAUGCGUUGAGCUAACCGAUACUAAUGAACCGUGAGGCUUAACCUU
Molecule: ribosomal RNA, 2906 nt
Filed under: Enterobacter hormaechei
Lineage: Bacteria; Pseudomonadati; Pseudomonadota; Gammaproteobacteria; Enterobacterales; Enterobacteriaceae
Also listed under: 3 other names
Description: 23S ribosomal RNA
Rfam family: Bacterial large subunit ribosomal RNA
Source: RNAcentral